RNAcentral lists this ribosomal RNA (541 nucleotides) under Fusarium graminearum. RNAcentral's name for it is "eukaryotic LSU rRNA". The stretch from base 181 to 334 matches the Rfam family "5.8S ribosomal RNA". Lineage: Eukaryota; Fungi; Ascomycota; Sordariomycetes; Hypocreales; Nectriaceae. The record is from RNAcentral.
CUCCGUAGGGUGAACCUGCGGAGGGAUCAUUACCGAGUUUACAACUCCCAAACCCCUGUGAACAUACCUUAUGUUGCCUCGGCGGAUCAGCCCGCGCCCCGUAAAAAGGGACGGCCCGCCGCAGGAACCCUAAACUCUGUUUUUAGUGGAACUUCUGAGUAUAAAAAACAAAUAAAUCAAAACUUUCAACAACGGAUCUCUUGGUUCUGGCAUCGAUGAAGAACGCAGCAAAAUGCGAUAAGUAAUGUGAAUUGCAGAAUUCAGUGAAUCAUCGAAUCUUUGAACGCACAUUGCGCCCGCCAGUAUUCUGGCGGGCAUGCCUGUUCGAGCGUCAUUUCAACCCUCAAGCCCAGCUUGGUGUUGGGAGCUGCAGUCCUGCUGCACUCCCCAAAUACAUUGGCGGUCACGUCGAGCUUCCAUAGCGUAGUAAUUUACACAUCGUUACUGGUAAUCGUCGCGGCCACGCCGUUAAACCCCAACUUCUGAAUGUUGACCUCGGAUCAGGUAGGAAUACCCGCUGAACUUAAGCAUAUCAAUAAGG